AGUUCGGAUUGUAGUCUGCAACCCGACUACAUGAAGCUGGAAUCGCUAGUAAUCGCAGGUCAGCAUACUGCGGUGAAUACGUUCCCGGGUCUUGUACACACCGCCCGUCACACCAUGGGAGCCGGAAAUGCCCGAAGCCAGUGACCCAACCUUAGGGAGGGAGCUGUCGAAGGUGGAGCCGGUAACUGGGGUGAAGUCGUAACAAGGUAAC
RNAcentral lists this ribosomal RNA (211 nucleotides) under uncultured bacterium. RNAcentral's name for it is "partial 16S ribosomal RNA". It matches the Rfam family "Bacterial small subunit ribosomal RNA", at positions 1290 to 1500 of the family's 1533-position model. The record is from RNAcentral.